This 484-nucleotide ribosomal RNA is filed under the name uncultured bacterium. RNAcentral describes it as "partial 16S ribosomal RNA". It matches the Rfam family "Bacterial small subunit ribosomal RNA", at positions 28 to 507 of the family's 1533-position model. The record is from RNAcentral.
AUUGAACGCUGGCGGCAUGCUUUACACAUGCAAGUCGAACGGCAGCGCGGGCUUCGGCCUGGCGGCGAGUGGCGAACGGGUGAGUAAUGCAUCGGAACGUGUCCAGUAGUGGGGGAUAGCCCGGCGAAAGCCGGAUUAAUACCGCAUACGACCUGAGGGUGAAAGCGGGGGACCGAAAGGCCUCGCGCUAUUGGAGCGGCCGAUGUCGGAUUAGCUAGUUGGUGGGGUAAAGGCUUACCAAGGCGACGAUCCGUAGCUGGUCUGAGAGGACGACCAGCCACACUGGGACUGAGACACGGCCCAGACUCCUACGGGAGGCAGCAGUGGGGAAUUUUGGACAAUGGGGGCAACCCUGAUCCAGCCAUGCCGCGUGCGGGAAGAAGGCCUUCGGGUUGUAAACCGCUUUUGUUCGGGAAGAAAUCCUCUGGGCUAAUACCCCGGGGGGAUGACGGUACCGGAAGAAUAAGCACCGGCUAACUACGUG